RNAcentral lists this ribosomal RNA (789 nucleotides) under uncultured bacterium. RNAcentral describes it as "bacterial SSU rRNA". It matches the Rfam family "Bacterial small subunit ribosomal RNA", at positions 8 to 796 of the family's 1533-position model. The record is from RNAcentral.
AGAGUUUGAUCCUGGCUCAGACGAACGCUGGCGGCGUGCUUAACACAUGCAAGUCGCGUGCGCAGUUUCCGUAGCAAUACGGGGAUGGGCGCACGGCGCACGGGUGCGUAACACGUGGGCAAUCUGCCCUCCGAUGGGGAAUACCCCCGCGAAAGCGGGACUAAUUCCGCAUAACAUUCCUUGGAUUAACUUUCGAGGAUUCAAAGCAGCAAUGCGUCGGAGGAGGAGCCCGCGCCCGAUUAGCUAGUUGGUGAGGUAACGGCUCACCAAGGCAAUGAUCGGUAGCUGGUCUGAGAGGAUGGCCAGCCACACUGGAACUGAGACACGGUCCAGACUCCUACGGGAGGCAGCAGUGGGGAAUCUUGCACAAUGGGCGAAAGCCUGAUGCAGCGACGCCGCGUGGGGGAUGAAGCUUUUCGGAGUGUAAACCCCUUUCGACUGGGACGAAUGCCUCGCAAGAGGAGUGACGGUACCAGUAUAAGAAGCCCCGGCUAACUACGUGCCAGCAGCCGCGGUAAGACGUAGGGGGCCAGCGUUGUUCGGAAUUACUGGGUGUAAAGGGUUCGUAGGCGGUGUGGCAAGUCGGGAGUGAAAUCUCUGGGCUCAACCCAGAGACUGCUUCCGAAACUGCUGUGCUUGAGUGUGAGAGAGGCUCGUGGAAUUGCAGGUAGCGGUGAAAUGCGUAGAUAUCUGCAGGAACACCCGUGGCGAAAGCGGCGAGCUGGAUCACUACUGACGCUGAGGAACGAAAGCUAGGGGAGCAAACAGGAUUAGAUACCCUAGUAGUCC